Molecule: ribosomal RNA, 403 nt
Filed under: uncultured bacterium
Lineage: Bacteria
Description: bacterial SSU rRNA
Rfam family: Bacterial small subunit ribosomal RNA
Source: RNAcentral
UGAGGAAUAUUGCCCAAUGGAGGAAACUCUGAGGCAGCGACGCCGCGUGGGUAAAGAAGGUCUUCGGAUCGUAAAGCCCUUUUCUGCGUGACGAGGAAGGACGGUAGCGCAGGAAAAAGUCUCGGCUAACUACGUGCCAGCAGCCGCGGUAAAACGUAGGAGGCAAGCGUUAUCCGGAGUUACUGGGCGUAAAGCGCGCGCAGGCGGAUGGAUAAGUGGGUUGUGAAAGCGCUCGGCUAAACCGGGCGAGGACAAAUCAGACUGUUCAGCAAGAGGCGGAUAGAGGAGCGUGGAAUUCCGGGUGUAGCGGUGAAAUGUGUAGAGAUCCGGAGGAACACCAGUGGUGCAAACGACGCUCUGGGUCCGAACUGACGCUGAGGCGCGAAAGCGUGGGGAGCGAACG